ACUGAGAGUAUCAGUAUGGGCCUA
Molecule: non-coding RNA, 24 nt
Filed under: Arabidopsis thaliana (thale cress)
Lineage: Eukaryota; Viridiplantae; Streptophyta; Magnoliopsida; Brassicales; Brassicaceae
Source: RNAcentral